GUUAGGAAUCUUCCACAAUGGGGGCAACCCUGAUGGAGCAACACCGCGUGCUGGAUGAAGGCCUUCGGGUCGUAAACAGCUUUUGUAUACGAAGAAUAUGACGGUAAUAUACGAAUAAGGGUCGGUUAACUACGUGCCAGCAGCCUCGGUCAUACGUAGGACCCAAGCGUUAUCCGGAGUGACUGGGCGUAAAGAGUUGCGUAGGUGGCUUAUUAAGCGAGUAGUGAAAUCUGGUGGCUAAACCAUCAACACAUUGCUCGAACUGAUAGGCUUGAGAAUGGUAGAGGUAGUUGGAAUUUCUUGUGUAGGAGUGAAAUCCGUAGAUAUAAGAAGGAACACCAAUGGCGUAGGCAGACUACUGGACCAUUUCUGACGCUGAGGCACGAAAGCGUGGGGAGCGAACCGGAUUAGAAACCCUUGUAGUCC
RNAcentral lists this ribosomal RNA (426 nucleotides) under uncultured bacterium. Its description in RNAcentral is "partial 16S ribosomal RNA". It matches the Rfam family "Bacterial small subunit ribosomal RNA", at positions 354 to 796 of the family's 1533-position model. The record is from RNAcentral.